Molecule: regulatory RNA element, 114 nt
Organism: Helobdella robusta
Lineage: Eukaryota; Metazoa; Annelida; Clitellata; Rhynchobdellida; Glossiphoniidae
Rfam family: Potassium channel RNA editing signal
About the family: This family represents a group of sequences related to the human potassium channel Kv1.1 hairpin element which directs the efficient modification of an adenosine to inosine by an adenosine deaminase acting on RNA (ADAR). The ADAR modification causes an isoleucine/valine recoding event which lies in the ion-conducting pore of the potassium channel.
Source: Rfam
GUAGGCUAUGGAGACAUGGUUCCCAAAACUUAUGUUGGUAUGUUCAUUGGCUCAAUUUGUGCUCUAACAGGUGUCUUAACGAUUGCCUUACCUGUCCCUGUUAUUGUCAGUAAU